Molecule: ribosomal RNA, 301 nt
Filed under: uncultured bacterium
Lineage: Bacteria
Description: partial 16S ribosomal RNA
Rfam family: Bacterial small subunit ribosomal RNA
Source: RNAcentral
CAGCCGCCGCGGUAAAACGUAGGGUGCAAGCGUUAAUCGGAAUUACUGGGCGUAAAGCGUGCGCAGGCGGUUUGUUAAGACAGAUGUGAAAUCCCCGGGCUCAGCCCGGGAACUGCAUUUGUGACUGGCAGGCUAGAGUAUGGCAGAGGGGGGUGGAAUUCCGCGUGUAGCAGUGAAAUGCGUGGAUAUGCGGAGGAACACCGAUGGCGAAGGCAGCCCCCUGGGCCAAUACUGACGCUCAUGCACGAAAGCGUGGGGAGCAAACAGGAUUAGAUACCCGCGUAGUCCCUGUCUCUUAUAC